CAGUCGUAACAAGGUUUCCGUAGGUGAACCUGCGGAAGGAUCAUUCAUAAUAAGUGUUUUAUGGCACUUUUUAAAUCCAUAUCCACCUUGUAUGCAAUGUCAGUCGUUCUCUUUUUUGAGAGCGACCAAACAUCAACUUAUUCUUCAACUCUUUGUCUGAAAAAUAUUAUGAAUAAAAUACUUCAAAAUACAACUUUCAACAACGGAUCUCUUGGCUCUC
Molecule: unclassified non-coding RNA, 220 nt
Filed under: Mortierella sp.
Lineage: Eukaryota; Fungi; Mortierellomycota; Mortierellomycetes; Mortierellales; Mortierellaceae
Description: partial internal transcribed spacer region
Rfam family: Eukaryotic small subunit ribosomal RNA (bases 1-46)
Source: RNAcentral